GAUGAACGCUGGCGGCGUGCCUAAUACAUGCAAGUCGAGCGAACGGACGAGAAGCUUGCUUUUCUGAUGUUAGCGGCGGACGGGUGAGUAACACGUGGAUAACCUACCUAUAAGACUGGGAUAACUUCGGGAAACCGGAGCUAAUACCGGAUAAUAUUUUGAACCGCAUGGUUCAAAAGUGAAAGACGGUCUUGCUGUCACUUAUAGAUGGAUCCGCGCUGCAUUAGCUAGUUGGUAAGGUAACGGCUUACCAAGGCAACGAUGCGUAGCCGACCUGAGAGGGUGAUCGGCCACACUGGAACUGAGACACGGUCCAGACUCCUACGGGAGGCAGCAGUAGGGAACCUUCCGCAAUGGGCGAAAGCCUGACGGAGCAACGCCGCGUGAGUGAUGAAGGUCUUCGGAUCGUAAAACUCUGUUAUUAGGGAAGAACAUAUGUGUAAGUAACUGUGCACAUCUUGACGGUACCUAAUCAGAAAGCCACGGCUAACUACGUG
This 497-nucleotide ribosomal RNA is filed under the name uncultured bacterium. RNAcentral's name for it is "partial 16S ribosomal RNA". It matches the Rfam family "Bacterial small subunit ribosomal RNA", at positions 28 to 507 of the family's 1533-position model. The record is from RNAcentral.